RNAcentral lists this transfer RNA (60 nucleotides) under Pseudoacanthocephalus sp. Its description in RNAcentral is "tRNA-Tyr". Lineage: Eukaryota; Metazoa; Acanthocephala; Palaeacanthocephala; Echinorhynchida; Pseudoacanthocephalidae. The record is from RNAcentral.
GGCUUAUUAGUUUUAAGAAUACUUUAUUGUAGAUAAAGGGGUUUUUGGCCAAAAAAGUUU